Molecule: unclassified non-coding RNA, 277 nt
Filed under: sea anemone metagenome
Description: partial contains small subunit ribosomal RNA and internal transcribed spacer 1
Rfam family: Eukaryotic small subunit ribosomal RNA (bases 1-154)
Source: RNAcentral
GCACCUACCGAUUGAAUGGUUCGGUGAAAAUCUCGGACUGCGGCUUGGAUGCCUUCGGGCAACCAAGCUGUGGAAAGUUGUUUAAACCUCAUCAUUUAGAGGUAGGUGAAGUCGUAGCAAGGUUUCCGUAGGUGAACCUGCAGAAGGAUCAACAUCGGCUGAGCGUAGUGAAGGGAAAGAGUGUAGAUGUGGGGUUUCUCCGUAUUAUUAUUAUAACAACCUUGUAUUUGAUGUCACUGUUCCGUCGCUUUAGUGUUCUGUUAUUGCCUUUUUACGU